GUCGUGUGCGCAAAGUAUUUUUUUCGAGCGUAACACACAUCCAAAAAGUCGUCCGACAAAUUACGUUGAAAAAUAUUCUCAUUUAUACACAUUUAUAUAUUAAUCUAUACAUCUCUUAUCGAUUUAAAUUCUGGAGGUGCUGCGUGUGUAUAUAUAUUUUUUUUAAUUCUCUUCCUCUACGUCCACACACUAAUUACGAAACACUGCGAUUUCAAAAAUGUACUCGAUCCUACGACCGAUCUCAAAGAGUUAAUAUUCCGUCGUCUGUAUAUAAUUAGGAAGUACUUUCCCUUUAGUUUUGCAUGUAAUUAUUAUACGGAACGCGCGUUAGCUGGCUUGAGUUUCAACUUUCUUCAUUGCUGAUUCUUUUUCACAGAAUUCGACGGUUUGAGAGAAAUGCCGAGUAAAAAAAUUUUUCAUCUUCUAAAGUCUCGAUCAAAGAUUUCUCUAAAAAUUCCUCAGCGAUUUUUAUAUCAUAGAUGUAAGAAUACAAGAAGUGAAUAAGAAGAGGAAGAGUGUUGAUUUAAAAACGGGAUUUCUCGAAAUCUGCGUUUUAUAAUAUACGUUUUUUUAAUCGUCGAUUCUCAAUCAAUACGUAUAAAUUAAUUGAUCAUCUCCACGAUGAGACGGAUCGAGAGAAGAUUUAACGAGAUGCGACAGACGGGAAGUUUCACGAAAGCGAAAUUGUCUUUAAAAAUCUAUGAAUGAAGAUCGUCUCGAAGAUAUCUAAAGGGAAAGUGUACAAUCAAGAAAAAGGACAAAUAAUUAUAGUUGUACCAUAACGGCAUGUUUAUCCCGACGCUUUUAGGCCCUGCGGAAUAAUGUUCGGGCCCCGAGAAUUCAAUGGGGACUCUGAAAUGAUAGCAUUUCGAUUUUUCCAAAAUGCAAAAAUUCCACUAGCAAUGUUUAUCUCGAUCUGCGAGAGAAUUCCAUUUUAUAGACUACAAACUAUUCAUAAAUAAAUCGUACAUCAUCGAAGGAUACAGGACCCGAGCCCAUUCUAUGACGCCUAAACGCGCCCCUUGCAUAAUACGGGACAGUUUGUGCGUUGAUACUCUUAAAAAUCGAUAGUAUACAUAUAUAUGUACUGUAGGAGAACCGUCUCUCUCAAUGCACGCGCGUUCGGACGAGCUAUGAGUGUCGAUCAACAUCAGAAUGUGUAUUAAUUUGAUUGUAUGUCUCCCUGGGCGCAAUGUUGAUCGAUUCUGGUAUUACGACAAUCGCAAGCGUUUGUAUUUUCAGCAAUACGAGAGCGAGACGAGUGAGCAAUAUCGAAUUAAAUCGACAAGCUGCAGUGUCACUUAGUACAAUACCUAGCUUCUCCUAAUUCGAUCAAUUUCGAAAAUUUCGAAAGGCGAAGAAAAUCUGUCAACAAUCAUAGUCAUAAGAUUCAGAGUUGGAAAGAAAGAUCUUUAAGCAUCUUCAUCUUUAGAUAUCUUUAAAUUAUUGCACCAAUUUUCUACAUCUUUUCUUUUUGUAGCCAUUUAAUUUGAACGACAAACGUCGAACUUUGUGUGAAAUUAAUGAUGAUGAAAAUAGCAUUUGUAGUAUAUACUUGGUCCAGCGAUUAUUCGACAGAUAAUCGUCGCUUAUCGAUCAUUUCGCAUUUAAAAUCGCUAUAUUUUACUUGGCGAUAAAAGUCACGAGUUUGGUUUUCUCGUCCAAACGCGUCUCUACUUAAACGAAAUACGUGUCGUGCGUAUCACACACAUCUAUCUUGAUACGUGUAAAUGAUUGUCCGUGAUUGUCCGUAGUUGAUAGAA
This is a long non-coding RNA of Camponotus floridanus (Florida carpenter ant), 1763 nucleotides long. RefSeq lists it as uncharacterized. NCBI's taxonomy places the organism in Eukaryota, Metazoa, Arthropoda, Insecta, Hymenoptera, Formicidae. The transcript is spliced from 2 exons. The record is from RefSeq and is a predicted model, not a curated record.